RNAcentral lists this ribosomal RNA (253 nucleotides) under uncultured bacterium. Its description in RNAcentral is "partial 16S ribosomal RNA". It matches the Rfam family "Bacterial small subunit ribosomal RNA", at positions 524 to 776 of the family's 1533-position model. The record is from RNAcentral.
UACGAAGGGGGCUAGCGUUGUUCGGAAUUACUGGGCGUAAAGGGCGCGUAGGCGGUGUGUCAAGUCAGGCGUGAAAGCCCCGGGCUCAACCUGGGAACCGCGCUUGAGACUGGCACGCUCGAGUUCGGGAGAGGAUGGUGGAAUUCCCAGUGUAGAGGUGAAAUUCGUAGAUAUUGGGAAGAACACCAGUGGCGAAGGCGGCUCACUGGCCCGAUACUGACGCUGAGGCACGAAAGCGUGGGGAGCAAACAGG